GGUGCUUGCACCUGAUUGAUUUUGGUCGCCAACGAGUGGCGGACGGGUGAGUAACACGUAGGUAACCUGCCCAGAAGCGGGGGACAACAUUUGGAAACAGAUGCUAAUACCGCAUAACAACGUUGUUCGCAUGAACAACGCUUAAAAGAUGGCUUCUCGCUAUCACUUCUGGAUGGACCUGCGGUGCAUUAGCUUGUUGGUGGGGUAACGGCCUACCAAGGCGAUGAUGCAUAGCCGAGUUGAGAGACUGAUCGGCCACAAUGGGACUGAGACACGGCCCAUACUCCUACGGGAGGCAGCAGUAGGGAAUCUUCCACAAUGGGCGCAAGCCUGAUGGAGCAACACCGCGUGAGUGAAGAAGGGUUUCGGCUCGUAAAGCUCUGUUGUUAAAGAAGAACACGUAUGAGAGUAACUGUUCAUACGUUGACGGUAUUUAACCAGAAAGUCACGGCUAACUACGUGCCAGCAGCCGCGGUAAUACGUAGGUGGCAAGCGUUAUCCGGAUUUAUUGGGCGUAAAGAGAGUGCAGGCGGUUUUCUAAGUCUGAUGUGAAAGCCUUCGGCUUAACCGGAGAAGUGCAUCGGAAACUGGAUAACUUGAGUGCAGAAGAGGGUAGUGGAACUCCAUGUGUAGCGGUGGAAUGCGUAGAUAUAUGGAAGAACACCAGUGGCGAAGGCGGCUACCUGGUCUGCAACUGACGCUGAGACUCGAAAGCAUGGGUAGCGAACAGGAUUAGAUACCCUGGUAGUCCAUGCCGUAAACGAUGAGUGCUAGGUGUUGGAGGGUUUCCGCCCUUCAGUGCCGGAGCUAACGCAUUAAGCACUCCGCCUGGGGAGUACGACCGCAAGGUUGAAACUCAAAGGAAUUGACGGGGGCCCGCACAAGCGGUGGAGCAUGUGGUUUAAUUCGAAGCUACGCGAAGAACCUUACCAGUCUUGACGUCUUGCCCCAACCCU
Molecule: ribosomal RNA, 956 nt
Filed under: Limosilactobacillus fermentum
Lineage: Bacteria; Bacillati; Bacillota; Bacilli; Lactobacillales; Lactobacillaceae
Description: bacterial SSU rRNA
Rfam family: Bacterial small subunit ribosomal RNA
Source: RNAcentral